This is a long non-coding RNA of Micropterus dolomieu (smallmouth bass), 1046 nucleotides long. RefSeq lists it as uncharacterized. Lineage: Eukaryota; Metazoa; Chordata; Actinopteri; Centrarchiformes; Centrarchidae. The record is from RefSeq and is a predicted model, not a curated record. The transcript is spliced from 2 exons.
CUGGAUGACUGAGAAUCUUCAUAGACAUCUUACCUCUCAUGUUUGAUACAAUCACGGUCAUCUGUUCUUUCCUGCUUACAUCGGGGUUACAAUCUGAAAUGAUAGAGAAGUAUUUAGCUGACCUCAGCAUCGUGAGAAUUUCCUGCUGAAUCUGGGAUGCCAGCAUUGCAAUGACUUCAUUUUGAAUAUCUUUGCCUAAAUGGUGAACGUGUGUUUCUUUAGAAGUCACUCUCCUAAUGUGUUCAGCCAUAACGCUGUCAAAAAGACCAAUCAUCUCCACUAGUUUCAGGAAAGUGCCAUUGUUAUGCUCAAAUAAUCUAUCUGUGCUACCACGGAAUGGCAGGUUUUGCAUAGCCAUUACUCUGAUGAGACUAAUCAACCGCUGCAACACAUUUUGCCAGUGUAUUGUUUCGGCAGCAAGUUUCCGCUGAUUUUGUGCAUCUAUGGUGUUUUGUGGGACCGAUCUUAUGUCCAACUCUUUCCAUUUAUGAAAACUUUGUUGUGGUGGCUGCCCGGCUGACGGUGAGUGUCCUGGUUUUUUCUCUUUUGUCUGCGAUUCUGUUUUUUCCCUGGUUUUCUCUGUACUCUGCCUGCCUCCCUGUGUCUCCUCCCCCAUGUGUGCUCCCUCUCUCUCUCUCUCCCUCCGCUCCUGAGCCCAGCCAAUGACCCGCACCUGCACCUCGUCAGCCACCUCCUCUGCCUGCCACACCUGCCAGCAAUCAGCCCCAUCUCCCACAGUAGGCUACUUCUACCCUGGUUCUCCACUCCGUUGCUGCUUGAUUGUCGUCGCUCCUUACCCGGUUCACUUACCCUCAUCCUGAGCCAAGUCAGCUGGGCUCGUUCACCUGCCCUCUCCCCUCGGACUUCCCCCACGGCGUCCUUCCAGUUCUCCCGUGCCUACUCUCUUCCUCGGCCCCUAGUGUUCCCUGGCUCUCCGGUCUCAGUCUCCUUGGUUCCCCGUGCCUGAUUUCCCUGGAAUCCACCUCUCCCUCAACUCCAGUCCCUCAACCCCAUUUUUCCCCAAAUAAAACCUGUUAAUCCCCAGA